AGGGGCAACUCUGUCAGUGGCGGACGGGUGAGUAACGCGUAGGAAUCUAUCUCUGGGUGGGGGACAACCGUGGGAAACUACGGCUAAUACCGCAUGAUGCCCGAGGGCCAAAGGCGCAAGUCGCCUGGAGAGGAGCCUGCGUACGAUUAGCUUGUUGGUGGGGUAAAGGCCUACCAAGGCGACGAUCGUUAGCUGGUCUGAGAGGAUGAUCAGCCACACUGGAACUGAGACACGGUCCAGACUCCUACGGGAGGCAGCAGUGAGGAAUAUUGCUCAAUGCCCGCAAGGGUGAAGCAGCGACGCCGCGUGAGGGAUGAAGGCCCUAUGGG
Molecule: ribosomal RNA, 329 nt
Filed under: uncultured bacterium
Lineage: Bacteria
Description: bacterial SSU rRNA
Rfam family: Bacterial small subunit ribosomal RNA
Source: RNAcentral